This is a long non-coding RNA of Pangasianodon hypophthalmus (striped catfish), 1386 nucleotides long. RefSeq lists it as uncharacterized. The transcript has 3 exons. NCBI's taxonomy places the organism in Eukaryota, Metazoa, Chordata, Actinopteri, Siluriformes, Pangasiidae. The record is from RefSeq and is a predicted model, not a curated record.
GUUUUCAUGUAGUUUUUUAUUAUUGUAUUAAUGUAUUUUUAUGAUUCAUGCACAUAUUUUUAAUCCGGCGCUUCGAUGGCCACCUUUUUUUUUUUUGGGUCCUUACAGUUUAUAGAGUCCUCACUUCCGGUACGAAAAGCGCGUCCGCGUGGUGGAGAGCAGCAUGUGCGCGUGCCGAAGUGGUCUCGUGGAUCAGCAUGGUAGGAAUUGAAAGCCUGAUUAUUCAGACCAUGAGGACAGCUGAACUCGCCAUGUUCCUGUUAAACACAGGUGGAUGAUGAUGAUGAUGAUGAUGAAGUACAGCGGAUGGAAGCGACUGCAGCGUUCAAACUCCAUUUACCUUCACGUUGAAUGAUUUAUAGUGGAGCGUUUUAUCCGAUUAUGGGUGAGGUACAUGAUGUGUGUCAUGAGCUAUAGGUUUGCUCACAAACUGCCAAAAAUAAAUUAACACUAAAGUAUGAAAGUUUCAGUACAAAAAAACAUCAAAUCCGCUACUGACAAUCCACUUGUAAUUCUUAAAAUAAGAAAUGUUAAGUGGAUUGUGAUGCACUUGAUCACGAUAUCGAUAUCAGAUGGUCGUAUCGCUCAGCCUCGCUCUCGGGCUUCCGCUUAGUAGUACGCACUUCGAGUGUUAGUAAAAUCUCUCCAGUAGUAACACAGAAGAUCUGAAGCCAUUUUUUUAAAUUAAUAUUAAGCUGAAGUCUUUAUUGGUUCAGAAAUAAUCAUGUGAUUUAAGCCAGGUUUACUCUGUACCAUCUUGCUGACACAAUUUGCACAUCGUAAAAGAAUUCUUCGCUCGUGAGUUGAAAGCGGUGUCUAACGACAUGUUAUGUGACUUGGUUGUCAGUGUGAGGAAUUUCGGAGUGUGAGCGCUGCUGCUAUGACAGUCAACUAAAAUCCACCAAUAGGAGGGCAGCACAGCUAUGCGUACAGUAGCGGCGAUGGAGAAAAACGUAACAUGCUAACGAACAGAAAAAUGGCGUUAUUACCUCACACUCGCUUCAUGUUUAUGCAAGCCUGUUGUCUGCACGAGUUGAUAUCCUGGUGCUCAAUUACGUAAGCAGAAUGUAGUCAUUCUCUCUAAGCACAGAUCUGCCGGUAGAGGAUCUUCUUUAGAGGACACGCGUUAUCAUAAAGUCUGUUAUAGAAUUCAGCCCAGAUUUUCUUGGGAUCUCGAGUACGCAAGUAUUUUGUGACAGGUAAUAAAAUAAAAUAAAAGUGCUGGAAUCAUGUAGUGUGAAACAUGAUGGCGUUUAAAACACUCAGAUGCUUCACUCAGUCAGGUUCAGUUUAGCUGAUGAUUAAUGAUGACUACGUAGGUGGGUUAUGUCUCUGCUUUGUCGCUUAUGUAUUAAUGUGAUUUCUAAUAAAGAUUGAUCUCCCAGU